Molecule: ribosomal RNA, 253 nt
Filed under: uncultured bacterium
Lineage: Bacteria
Description: partial 16S ribosomal RNA
Rfam family: Bacterial small subunit ribosomal RNA
Source: RNAcentral
UACGUAGGGGGCAAGCGUUGUCCGGAUUUAUUGGGCGUAAAGAGCGUGUAGGCGGCUUUACAGGUCCGUUGUGAAAACUCGAGGCUCAACCUCGAGACGCCGGUGGAAACCGUAAGGCUAGAGUCCGGAAGAGGAGAGUGGAAUUCCCGGUGUAGUGGUGAAAUGCGUAGAUAUCGGGAGGAACACCAGUGGCGAAGGCGACUACCUGGCCCAUUCUUGACGCUGAGGCGCGAAAGCUAGGGGAGCGAACGGG